UCACUUUCACUACUCCACAAACCCAUCUACGUGCUAUUCCUGAAAGAAAGAGAAACUAUGGCGGAAGGAGCUUUGUUCUAUCUUGCUGGGAAAGUCAUUAAUGUGCUCGGCUCUUUCACUGCUGAAGAGGUCAAACUGGCCUGUUGUGUCAAAACCGAGAUUGAAAAUCUAAAGAGCAGAGUCUCCAUGAUCCAAGCUGUGAUUCUAGAUGCAGAAAAGCAGAGUUCUCAUAACCAUCUGAUCGAAGUCUGGCUCAGUAUGCUCAAAGAAGUCUGGCUUAUUAUGCUCAAAUAAAAGGAAACUUAAACGGCUUAAAAAGAGAUACUUGAAAAACGCACAGUAUCUCUUUUUGAGCCUUUUAAGUUUUCCUUUCAUUUGCAAGAGGGUAUAGCGUUUUCUGGAUCGGUUUUUAAACUCAUCUGUGACAAAUGGCCAAUUGUCUUUCUUCAUUUUCCCAUUAGGAGUGUUCCCUUCAGCUGCUUCUUAUAACAAAAAAUCAAUGAGAGAAUGGCUGAAUGAGAAGACUGACUUUGAAGUCAAGAGAAGAAUGAGAGAAUGGCUGAAUGAGUCUAAUUUGUUCAUUCAUGCACAAAUUCAAGGGUUGUUCUGCUCAAAACAAAACCCAAAUUUAAGAACGUUUGGUUUUUCCAUUGGUUGGUAAUUUGGCACUUCCUCUCUCUGCUAAAGCCGUGGUCCUUUCUUCUUGAAUUUUGACUGUUGAGACAAAAUUCAAGAACCUGCCCUGUUCAAAACUCUCUGGCCUUGAAAUCGUGUAACAAGUAGUGGACUCAAUGAAACAGAGAAACUUUUACUACUUGAGGGGAGUGUCUACCAUGCCAGCUAACAAUGAAGGAGUUAUCUUAUUAAAUGGAUUCUGUUUGGUCAAUUAUUUUCUUUAUAUAUAUGCUUAAAACAUGAUCUUAUGUAUUCUAGAAAUUGAUUUGCACAGUGUCAUUGGGUAAUUGGUAAACAACUAAUGAUUUAUGUAGUUUAUGGGUUGAGACAAUAAGGCUGAAUAAUUUGUUCAUUUUCCAAAUGUUUCUGAAGAAUUCAUUUAAGUCAAAAGUAUAAAUGAGAUAGAGUCUAGUGGGUUUAUUUAGUCUAGUGUGUCUGGACAGCACAAAUCUAAUGGUAAAUUAUCUAACAGAUUUCAGAAUACCCUCGUUUUUUUAACUUCCUUAUGUAAUGUUCUAUGUUGGGUUAUUAAUGCUCAAAGCAGCAUCCAAACUUAGGAACUUUUCAUUUUCUUUGAGGUUGGCGUUUUUUCUACUUGUCUACCUCCUAAAGCCCCUUUGGUUCUUUACUUUUUGUCGUGCAGACUCUGUAUUAAUAUUGGGCAACAUUGCACAUGUUCUUUUCUCUAAUAUCUCCAUGUCCUUUUAUUUGCUUCUUUUCUACCGAACUUUAUCUCAUACUUAUUUGACAGGCUUUUGCAUUUGGUUUCUGUAUCAAGCAAUACAUAGACCAGGUGAAAUCUGGCACUUCUUGACCAUGAGUUACAAUUGUUCUAGAGGGCGAAUCCUGACUACAAUGCGCGAGGAAAUGGCAUGGAGCUAUUAUCCAUAGGAGAGUGUGGCAUUGAAACCAAAAGGAUUUUCAAAGAUGGUUCUACAAAAAUCAGGCAUCAUCUUUCUAUAGAUUGAUUUUCUCUUUUAGUGCAGUCUGGAGCUCAUUGCUGUGUACAAUUGAUAAUUUCAAGUGCAGGGAAAACUUGUGCUUGCUCCAUUGAUGGAGUUUGAGACUUCCACAACAAAGGACCUCUUUGUUUGGAUGGAGGCCACUGUGUCGUCUUUGAAACUAUUUUCAACAAUGUCUUAAGGAGAGCCAUUGUUUUGGAUUAAUAGAGUGGCAAAUAGAGAUGACAGUUCCACUAAGCAUACAACCCAUCUCAUAACUCCUUUUUCUGUGAGAGGGAUGUCGGCCAUUAUAUGGACAUGUAGUUCCCCAUAGAAGGGUUAUCGAGUGGAGACUAUACAACAUUAAGCUGACGAAGGGAAAUUUACAUUUGUCUUGAAUCUAGCUAUAAUAAGGAAGAUAUCUAAGAUCACAUAAUGAUGUCGAUUGGUCAGUUUUGUCCUGUUGAUGAAGUAUUAGUCAUCUUCAAAUGUUUUGGGAGAGAAAUGAGGACAAUUGAGUGGAUCAGGUCAUUUCAUCCAGAAUGCUGAAUUCGCAAUUCUCAACAUGUUGAAAAUUGUUGUCUGCUAGAUUAUCAAAUAUAUCAUUUCGUCUUCAAAUUUCAUGAUUUGGCCCAUUUGGUGGUCAACUUUGUGUGAGGUUUUGGUGGAUCAACUUAUUGGGUUCCUUAUUAUAACUAGGGUGCUCUUUGUACUUGUAUGGCAUUGCCAAUUAAGGUUUUGAAUAUAUAUUUUUUCUUGUGGGGAUGGAAACAUUGGAAAGAAAUUCUACUUGUCUA
This is an RNA transcript of Quercus lobata, 2413 nucleotides long. RefSeq lists it as uncharacterized. The transcript has 10 exons. The record is from RefSeq and is a predicted model, not a curated record. Lineage: Eukaryota; Viridiplantae; Streptophyta; Magnoliopsida; Fagales; Fagaceae.